CCCGGCGAGGGGAGUGAAAAAGAACCUGAAACCGUGUACGUACAAGCAGUGGGAGCACGCUUAGGCGUGUGACUGCGUACCUUUUGUAUAAUGGGUCAGCGACUUAUAUUCUGUAGCAAGGUUAACCGAAUAGGGGAGCCGAAGGGAAACCGAGUCUUAACUGGGCGUUAAGUUGCAGGGUAUAGACCCGAAACCCGGUGAUCUAGCCAUGGGCAGGUUGAAGGUUGGGUAACACUAACUGGAGGACCGAACCGACUAAUGUUGAAAAAUUAGCGGAUGACUUGUGGCUGGGGGUGAAAGGCCAAUCAAACCGGGAGAUAGCUGGUUCUCCCCGAAAGCUAUUUAGGUAGCGCCUCGUGAAUUCAUCUCCGGGGGUAGAGCACUGUUUCGGCAAGGGGGUCAUCCCGACUUACCAACCCGAUGCAAACUGCGAAUACCGGAGAAUGUUAUCACGGGAGACACACGGCGGGUGCUAACGUCCGUCGUGAAGAGGGAAACAACC
RNAcentral lists this ribosomal RNA (502 nucleotides) under Escherichia coli. RNAcentral describes it as "partial 23S ribosomal RNA". It matches the Rfam family "Bacterial large subunit ribosomal RNA", at positions 525 to 1027 of the family's 2925-position model. Lineage: Bacteria; Pseudomonadati; Pseudomonadota; Gammaproteobacteria; Enterobacterales; Enterobacteriaceae. The record is from RNAcentral.